RNAcentral lists this ribosomal RNA (460 nucleotides) under uncultured bacterium. Its description in RNAcentral is "partial 16S ribosomal RNA". It matches the Rfam family "Bacterial small subunit ribosomal RNA", at positions 338 to 795 of the family's 1533-position model. The record is from RNAcentral.
CCUACGGGGGACAGCAGUGAGGAAUAUUGGUCAAUGGGCGCCAGCCUGAACCAGCCAAGUAGCGUGAAGGAUGACUGCCCUAUGGGUUGUAAACUUCUUUUAUACAGGAAUAAAGUGAGGCACGUGUGCCUUUUUUUAUGUAUUUUAUGAAUAAGGAUCGGCUAACUCCGUGCCAGCAGCCGCGGUAAUACGGAGGAUCCAAGCGUUAUCCGGAUUUAUUGGGUUUAAAGGGAGCUUAGCUGGGUUGUUAAGUCAGUUGUGAAAGUUUGCGGCUCAACAGUAGAAUUGCAUUUGAUACUGGCAGCCUUGAGUACAGUUGAGGUAGGCGGAAUGCGUGGUGUAGAGGUGAAAUGCUGAGAGAUCACGAAGAACUCCGAUUGCGAAGGCAGCCUACUAAACUGCAACUGACGUUGAUGCUCGAAAGUGUGGGUAUCAAACAGGAUUAGAUACCCGAGUAGUC